UCAAUGUAUACUGAAGGAAAAAAAAGAAAAAAAGUAAAGGAAAAUGGAAGGUGGGUCCGCUGCUACUUCGAAUGAAAAUGAAGACAGCACAGAGAAAGGUUUGGAUCUUCCACUGAAUCGCCAUGGAAACUUGAAAAGUGCUUCCAGUGAUUAAAGCCUCAAGGACAUUCUUCUCCAAAUUAAGUCUUCCAAAACCCCUACUGACCCACGUCUCUCAGCCUCCCAAAAAGACCGCUUCUAAGUGGGUCAAGGGGAAGCAAUUGGAAGAAGUUGUGACCAUUAAAAACACAUAUGGGAUUGGUGGCAAAAAGAUAGCUUUUGUGGGACUACUUGAACUCAAAUAAUUUUCUGUAAAGUUUGGAAGCUAAAACAUCAUUUGUAUAUAAAUAGUUGUAAUUACUUUGUGAACAUCUUUAUUGCAUUUUUAGAUUGUAUGGAUGUUUUUUUUUUAUGGAUUUGCUUAGAAAUGAAUGAAUGUUUUUUUAAUUAUGGAUUUGGUUAGAAAUGAACAGGUUAAUGUAAUGGCAAGUAAAUGUAAAGAAUAUUAAUAAAAAAAUAAAAUUGGUGACGAUAAUUUUCAUUGC
Long non-coding RNA from Quercus lobata, 584 nucleotides. RefSeq lists it as uncharacterized. Lineage: Eukaryota; Viridiplantae; Streptophyta; Magnoliopsida; Fagales; Fagaceae. The transcript is spliced from 4 exons. The record is from RefSeq and is a predicted model, not a curated record.